GACGAACGCUGGCGGCGUGCCUAAUACAAUGCAAGUCGAGCGGAAUGAUGAAGAAGCUUGCUUCUUCUGAUUUUAGCGGCGGACGGGUGAGUAACACGUGGGCAACCUACCUUGUAGAUUGGGAUAACUCCGGGAAACCGGGGCUAAUACCGAAUAAUCCAUUUUGCUUCAUGGCGAGAUGUUGAAAGACGGUUUCGGCUGUCACUACAAGAUGGGCCCGCGGCGCAUUAGCUAGUUGGUAGGGUAAUGGCCUACCAAGGCGACGAUGCGUAGCCGACCUGAGAGGGUGAUCGGCCACACUGGGACUGAGACACGGCCCAGACUCCUACGGGAGGCAGCAGUAGGGAAUCUUCCACAAUGGACGAAAGUCUGAUGGAGCAACGCCGCGUGAGUGAAGAAGGUUUUUCGGAUCGUAAAACUCUGUUGUAGGGGAAGAACACGUACGAGAGUAACUGCUCGUACCUUGACGGUACCUUAUUAGAAAGCCACGGCUAACUACGUG
RNAcentral lists this ribosomal RNA (502 nucleotides) under uncultured bacterium. RNAcentral's name for it is "bacterial SSU rRNA". It matches the Rfam family "Bacterial small subunit ribosomal RNA", at positions 28 to 507 of the family's 1533-position model. The record is from RNAcentral.